GAUGAACGCUGGCGGCGUGCUUAACACAUGCAAGUCGAACGGAAAGGCCCAAGCUUGCUUGGGUACUCGAGUGGCGAACGGGUAAGUAACACGUGGGUGAUCUGCCCUGCACUUCGGGAUAAGCCUGGGAAACUGGGUCUAAUACCGGAUAGGACCACUUCUUGGAUGUUGUGGUGGAAAGUUUUUUCGGUGUGGGAUGAGCUCGCGGCCUAUCAGCUUGUUGGUGGGGUAAUGGCCUACCAAGGCGUCGACGGGUAGCCGGCCUGAGAGGGUGUACGGCCACAUUGGGACUGAGAUACGGCCCAGACUCCUACGGGAGGCAGCAGUGGGGAAUAUUGCACAAUGGGCGCAAGCCUGAUGCAGCGACGCCGCGUGGGGGAUGACGGCCUUCGGGUUGUAAACUCCUUUCGCUAGGGACGAAGCGUUUUGUGACGGUACCUGGAGAAGAAGCACCGGCUAACUACGUG
Molecule: ribosomal RNA, 467 nt
Filed under: uncultured bacterium
Lineage: Bacteria
Description: partial 16S ribosomal RNA
Rfam family: Bacterial small subunit ribosomal RNA
Source: RNAcentral